GUACCUGUUUAGAAAGCCACGGCUAACUACGUGCCAGCAGCCGCGGUAAUACGUAGGUGGCGAGCGUUGUCCGGAAUUACUGGGUGUAAAGGGAGUGUAGGCGGGAAGGCAAGUCAGAGGUGAAAAUUAUGGGCUUAACCCAUAACCUGCUUUUGAAACUGUUUUUCUUGAGUGAGGCAGAGGCAAGCGGAAUUCCUAGUGUAGCGGUGAAAUGCGUAGAUAUUAGGAGGAACACCAGUGGCGAAGGCGGCUUGCUGGGCCUUUACUGACGCUGAGGCUCGAAAGCGUGGGGAGCAAACAGGAUUAGAUACCCUGGUAGUCCACGCCGUAAACGAUGAUCACUAGGUGUGGGGAGUUGAACCUUUCCGUGCCGGAGUUAACACCAUAAGUGAUCCACCUGGGGA
RNAcentral lists this ribosomal RNA (404 nucleotides) under uncultured bacterium. RNAcentral describes it as "bacterial SSU rRNA". It matches the Rfam family "Bacterial small subunit ribosomal RNA", at positions 475 to 879 of the family's 1533-position model. The record is from RNAcentral.